RNAcentral lists this ribosomal RNA (442 nucleotides) under uncultured bacterium. RNAcentral's name for it is "partial 16S ribosomal RNA". It matches the Rfam family "Bacterial small subunit ribosomal RNA", at positions 338 to 795 of the family's 1533-position model. The record is from RNAcentral.
CCUACGGGAGGCAGCAGUAGGGAAUCUUUCACAAUGGGCGAAAGCCUGAUGGAGCAACGCCGCGUGCAGGAUGAAGGCCUUCGGGUUGUAAACUGCUUUUAUAAGCGAGAAAUAUGAUGGUAACUUAUGAAUAAGGAUCGGCUAACUACGUGCCAGCAGCCGCGGUCAUACGUAGGAUCCGAGCAUUAUCCGGAGUGACUGGGUGUAAAGAGUUGCGUAGGUGGCAUAAUAAGUAGCUAGUGAAAUCUGGUGGCUCAACCAUUCAGACUAUUAGCUAAACUGUUAAGCUCGAGACCGUUAGGGGUAACUGGAAUUUCUAGUGUAGGAGUGAAAUCCGUAGAUAUUAGAAGGAACACCAAUAGCGUAGGCAGGUUGCUGGGACGGUUCUGACACUAAGGCACGAAAGCGUAGGGAGCAAACGAGAUUAGAUACCCCAGUAGUC